Molecule: ribosomal RNA, 433 nt
Filed under: uncultured bacterium
Lineage: Bacteria
Description: partial 16S ribosomal RNA
Rfam family: Bacterial small subunit ribosomal RNA
Source: RNAcentral
AACGAACGCUGGCGGCGUGCCUAACACAUGCAAGUCGAACGAGAACACCGGGAGUAGUGGCGCACGGGUGCGUCGCGGGUCGGAACCUGCACACAGGGUCGGCAUACCUCUCAGAAAGGGGUGCUAUUAGCGGAUAAUGUCUACGGACCAAGGAUAUAUCGCCCUUGGUUGUGCAAGCGUUGGAUUAGCUGGUUGGUAGGGUAAAAGCAUAGCAAGGCGACGAUCCAUAGCUGGUCUGGGAGGAUGAUCAGCCACACUGCGACGAAGACACGGCCGAGAAUCCUACGCGAGGGAGGAGUGGGGAAUGGUGGACAAUGGGGGAAGGCCUGAUGCAGCAAUGCCGGGUAAGUGAUGAUGGCCUGAGGGUAGUAAAGCUCUUUUAACCGGGAAGAUAAUGACGGUACCGGGAGAAUAAGCCCCGGCUAACUCCGUG